GGGCGUUCUCUCCUCCACUGGUCAUCGCGUGACUCACAGAGCAGCACACAGUGACAGCUGGGAGCCAGCGCUGGCAGAGAAGAGGUCACAACCCAGGUGAGCAGAUGAGCUGCAGUCUGGCGGGGCUGUGGCAGAGCUGCAGGAAGGAGGGAAACAGUGGCUCUCUCCCUUCCGGUCUCUGGAGACGCGGCAUACACAGGGAUUGUCCUACCUGGCUCGACGCUCGCAGGGGACUGCAGGAACAAUUCUGGUCUCCAGCUGACUCCUUGCCGUGGCAGAGUCAGGAAGAGUACAACCCGCAAAACCCACUUUUAUGCCCAUCAGCAAACAGCCCAAACCCUCAAGAUGAAACCAAAAGCAUCUCCAGCCAGGAGUCCUGGGCAAGUGACAGCUUUAUCUAUGGCAGAACCGAAAGAAGGAAGACCGAGCAAGUCAGAAUCAUUAAAAUAGAGAUCAAGAAAGUCACAUUUUUUGAUUUGCCAUAUUAAAGAGAAGGAGGAAAGACGCCAAUUGGCUUGUCAUCUUCUCAUGAAAUAACAGAUGGCAGCUGAGUCACUGCUCCCGGCAGUCAGGACUCUGCUGGUCUCCUGGCUCCUCACUUGGGCCAGCCACUCGGGACAGGAGGAGGUGGCUGUGGGGGGCAGCGGAGGAGGAAGCCUUGCCUCCAUCUGCCUCCAUCCAGCCCACCCUACUCACUCACAGCCCCCAUCCCUAAGAUUCCGAGAGCCUGGCCACCCCUUCUCUGGUCACUCAAACAAAUGGUCCCAAGCACCUGGGGUGUCUGUGUCUGUGGAGGCC
Molecule: long non-coding RNA, 798 nt
Filed under: Fukomys damarensis (Damara mole-rat)
Lineage: Eukaryota; Metazoa; Chordata; Mammalia; Rodentia; Bathyergidae
Description: lncRNA (ENSFDAG00000032713.1)
Source: RNAcentral